GAACCUCCGCCACCACACAGGCCCCGAUGUAGACGCUCAGCCUGUGAACUGUGGAUGCUCGGCUGACACAGAGCCAAGCCCACAGUGGAAUACGGUUGCUGCAACAACAACAAGAACAACAAGUUGACUGCAACUGAACUUCAACCUUCAGCUUCCUGUUUACUCCUCAGCUCGUUCCUCAUUGGUUGUUUCCUCUGGCUUUGGUUUAACCCGUCCCACUCUCUGCCUGUCUGUCUGCUCUGUGUGUCUGUGUUCAUUCAUUCACUGUAAAUAAAGUUACAUUACAGAAGAUUGUCCACAGAGGAUGUGCUAAUAAAGUUAACUGUCAAAACCUUGAUCCAAAAUCAUGAACUGAUUAUUGAUCGGAAAUCAGGAACUGAUAAUUCAUCUAAAAUCAUGAACUGAUUAUUGAUCUGAAAUCAUACUGUACUUAAGUACAAUUUUGAGGUAC
This is a long non-coding RNA of Centropristis striata (black sea bass), 451 nucleotides long. RefSeq lists it as uncharacterized. The transcript is spliced from 3 exons. The record is from RefSeq and is a predicted model, not a curated record. Lineage: Eukaryota; Metazoa; Chordata; Actinopteri; Perciformes; Serranidae.